CGUGACCCUCUCAGAGCCUAUGAGGCUCUGUCUUCUCUCGGGACUCUUUCUUGGAGUCACCAUUCCUAUCUCCCUGGAUGUAUUGUUAUUCAUAUAUUCACUCAAACAUUGAUCCACUCGUCCACUGGUUUCUUCAUGUUUGUCAGUAUGUAGGGUGGGAGGCAAAGAUGGAGAAAAGUGAGGAUGUAGGGAGGUAGCAAACCAAAGAGGACGGGAGGUUGGAACUUAGAGAGGUAAGGAGGAAGGUAGAUGAGCAUUUCAGCCAGGGGUUUGUGUCUCUGCAUAUAGGUGCAUUUCGUUGCUUUCUUGUAUUCCUGGACUUAUUGCUCUAGGUAUGUCUUGUAGCAACAUUUGCUACAUCAAAGUGUAGCACACAUGACCACCAAAGCCUACAGGGACAGACUAGGCUGUCUCACAGGAGUCUUUCUGCUUUCUAGACAGAUAACAUCUGCAAAGGAAGGAUUAUCUGAGUGCGGCCUGCUGCUCCUGGUGCAACUGAUGUCAGCCUUGGUGCCGCAGCUGGGUAGACAGAAACUCAAGUCCUUUACAGCUUCCUUAUUUCCAGAAAGCUUUGGAGUCAGACAUUCUGGAGAAGGCCUCACUGUAACCUGAACAAUUCAAGGUGAGUGACUCUUUGGUCCUUAACAUGGGCCCCGGAGGACACUGGGCUAUGGAGUAG
Molecule: long non-coding RNA, 679 nt
Filed under: Bos mutus (wild yak)
Lineage: Eukaryota; Metazoa; Chordata; Mammalia; Artiodactyla; Bovidae
Description: lncRNA (ENSBMUG00000024451.1)
Source: RNAcentral